Molecule: long non-coding RNA, 1666 nt
Filed under: Mus pahari (shrew mouse)
Lineage: Eukaryota; Metazoa; Chordata; Mammalia; Rodentia; Muridae
Description: lncRNA (MGP_PahariEiJ_G0006140.1)
Source: RNAcentral
GAUCUUUUGCACAGCUUGAAGUGGUGUCUGAAUAUGCAUUUUCUCUGAACACUUGAAUUAGAAUGGACUGAUAUCUGUGAACCAUGUGGAAUAGCCACAUGGCUCUCCACAUGCGCCUGGACACCACAACAAGGCAUGGUACUGCAUGCUAAUUCAAAUGGUUCAGUGCUGCCUGUCUUUGUCUCUAACUCCCCAGAAAUGGAGAAGGUUCUUUUGAUUUCCUACAAAGUUUAAUAUUGCUGCUGACAACUCAGACCUCGUGACCUCGCUGACUGAGAGGACCAAUAAGAUCUGGAAUUAUCAAGAUACUGGAGAUGCCAUGCGUUCUGAUGCAGACUGCCACGGGCAGUUAUUUUUAAAAGUCCUCUGAGAUGAAGAAGAAAGGUUUAAUUGGGCAGCUCAAGGAGAAUGGAAGAGGGCAGCUCGACCAAACUCCAAGACGCUCUUAGGGGAACAGGAUAAGAGAGUGUAAAAAGUGAAUGCUGAACCCCUAGUGGUAAGACAAGGUUGAAGUUUCAAAUGUGUUCAGUGAAAUCACAUCUUCCUGGAUCAUGAUGAAGCAGCAGAGAAAUCUCAGUUAAUAGUCUGAGCUUGAACAGACUAUCCUGGCACUCUUGAUGAGUUUAGAGUUUAAGUAGGACAUUUUUAUAUUUCAGCAUGUUCCAGCCUUCUGGCCAACACUCAAGUAUCUGUCACAAUGGAAGGAAAGGGAGCUGGAUCAAGGAUAAUGAGCUUUGGACUCUGCAGAAGGAGCUGUGGGGCUCCCAUUCCAGUGUGCCACUUAUUUGGCAAGUCUGAGUGACCAACACAAGGAAGGGCUCCACCUUUUCAGUCUUUAGUUUGGUUACCAUAUGGAUUUGUGAGCUUGGAAAAAUACAAGUACCACUCACUGCAAAGUUCUGCUGUUCACAGGGAUUCCUCAGAUAUCUCUGUACUUGGAAAGAAACUUCACAUUUAUAGUAGAAACCAAUAGAAGUUCAUUACUUGGGUGAUUUUGGAGGGCAAUUAUACUAAAACGUUAGCUUGUUAUCUAUAAUCUAGACCAUAGCAUAUGUUGAGACAAAAGUCAUAUCAACAUAUUAACAUAUGAUACAAUCUAGAGUCACCCAAGAAGAGGGUCUCAAAGAGAGACUGUGCUCAGGUUUCCUGUGACCAUGUAUGUGGGGAUUCAACUUGAUUACAUUAAUUGAAGUUGGAAGGUUUUAUUAUCAUGGGUUCUAGACUAAGCUUAUGCAUGAGGAUUUGAGCAACAAGAAGAGUUCCAAGAAGAGAUGUGCAACCCUAAUUUUUUUGAAUGCUUGGACAACAUGGAGAAGGCACACCAGGCUCAUGAAGAACUCAAUUCCCUAGGCAUUGGUCAUGGACGAUGUAAAAGUAGAGACAGCAAUGAGUACAGGUUUGCCCACUUUUAUUUCUGUCAGCUCUGGAUUAGCUGUGUUUACAGAGCAACUAUGUAAUGAUGUGGCUGGCUGCUUUAAAUUCCUGCCUAGACUCUUCCCCCAUGAUGGACUGUCAACUGAAACUGUGAGGCCAACCAAGCCUUUUUUUUCUCAAAGUUGGUUUUGUUAGGGUACUUUAGCAAUGCUACCUGGAAAUGACAUGAAACCAACUACUGUGUUAGAUAUUAAUAACGUCAAUUAACCAUUACAAAAGCUUUGAAAUUGUU